UGGGACGUCGUGACGUCAUACGGCCGCGUCGCGUGCUCUCGCGUCUGUGAUCCUGCUGAAGAAAGAUCUUAAACACACAGAUAAACUCCUGCUGAAGCGACUGAGAGACGCACUAUUAUAAAGAUGGUGUUUAUUAAAGAGGAGAGAGAAGACAUGAAGAUUGAAGAAGUAUUCAGAGUCAAACAUGAAGAUACUGAGGACCAAACAAAGAUGGCGUUUGUUAAAGAGGAGAGAGAAGACAUGAAGGUUGAAGAAGUAUUCAGUCUGAAACAAGAAGAGCAAACAGGUUCACAUCAGCGCAUCUCGCCUGCACUACAAGACAGCCGCUGCACGCUGCGAUAUGAGACUUCCGCUCGUGUUAUGGGACUUAUCCGAAACCUAAUCAGGCCACUGUUGCACCAUCACAAAACUGUAUCAUUUGCACAUCUUUUUAAGUCUUUUUAAACCAUUCAACUCA
This 457-nucleotide long non-coding RNA is filed under the name Sinocyclocheilus anshuiensis. Its description in RNAcentral is "lncRNA (ENSSANG00000050209.1)". The record is from RNAcentral. Lineage: Eukaryota; Metazoa; Chordata; Actinopteri; Cypriniformes; Cyprinidae.